CAUGGCAACCCCAAAUGCCGCCGCCUGUGGGUUAGUCAUGUUGGUGGUGGGUUGGUUGCUUCUGGUUACAGUUGCGUUGGUUAACAACACCGCCUUGGUUACCCGUAGUUACCCAUUGAUGAUUUCUAAUUUGGACUGUGCCGUAUAUAUAUUGUCCUGGUCAUAGCAGGGUUGUCAGUGAGAUCCCUAGUCAGCUGUCAUGGUUGUCAUGAAGAUAGAGUAUGGAACCUCAGUUAUGAGGUUAGACUUUCACACGGAGGACAGGAGGAUACCUAGUCAGUUGUCAUGGAGAUACCUAGUCAGUUGUCAUGGAGAUACGGUGUGGAACCUCAGCUAUGAGGUUAGACUUUCACACGGAGGACAGGAGGAUACCUAGUCAGUUGUCAUGGAGAUACCUAGUCAGUUGUCAUGGAGAUACGGUGUGGAACCUCAGCUAUGAGGUUAGACUUUCACACGGAGGACAGGAGGAUAACUAAUCAGUUGUACAACUGAAUGCAUUCAACUGAAAUAUGUCUUCCACAUUUAACCCAAACCCCUUCUGAAUCAGCUUUAGCGUCUCGGGGGGAACUUUGGUCUGCUUUCCCUGAAGCUGGAGAGCCCGAGUGGGGUUUUACAGAGCUAGCCAGACAGAGCUAGCCAGACAUGGCUGCCAGACAGAGUUAGCCAGACAGAGCUAGCCAGACAUGGCUGCCAGACAUGGCUAGCCAGACAGACUACUAAAUAGGGUUGCAACAUUUCCGGGAAACUUUUCCAUAAUUCCCUGGUUUUCCAGGAAUCUUGGUUGGAGGAUUCCCGGAUGUCCAGCUAAUUCCCCCGUAAAUUCAAGGGAUCUUCUAACCAGGAUUUCUGGAAAACCAGGGAAUUUUGGGGAAGUUACCGUAAUUUUGCAACCUUAAGAAAAACAUAUGGAGAAUGUUUAGGAAUGGGCAGUUAUAGAGGACAGGAGGUUUAGUAAUGGGUAGUUAUAGAGGACAGGAGGUUUAAUAAUGGGUAGUUAUAGAGGACAGGAGGUUUAGUAAUGGGUAGUUAUAGAGGACAGGAGGUUAUGGAGGACAGGAGGACAGGAGGUUAUGGAGGACAGGAGGUUAUAGAGGACAGGAGGUUUAAUAAUGGGCAGUUAUAGAGGACAGGAGGUUUAGUAAUGGGCAGUAGUACAUAUAUCCUUGUGUUUCUGCCUAAACGUGCUGUGUAGGAAUGGAGGACAGGAGGUUUAGUAAUGGGCAGUUAUGGAGGACAGGAGGUUUAGUAAUGGGCAGUUAUAGAGGACAGGAGGUUAUAGAGGACAGGAGGUUUAGUAAUGGGUAGUUAUAGAGGACAGGAGGUUUAGUAAUGGGUAGUUAUAGAGGACAGGAGGUUUAGUAAUGGGCAGUAGUGUAUAUAUAUCCUUGUGUUUCUGUAGGAAUAGAGGACAGGAGGUUUAGUAAUGGGCAGUAGUAUAUAUAUCCUUGUGUUUCUGCCUAAACGUGCUGUGUAGGAAUAGAGGACAGGAGGUUUAGUAAUGGGCAGUAGUAUAUAUAUAUCCUUGUGUUUCUGCCUAAACGUGCUGUGUAGGAAUAGAGGACAGGAGGUUUAGUAAUGGGCAGUAUUAUAUAUAUCCUUGUGUUUCUGCCUAAACGUGCUGUGUAGGAAUAGAGGACAGGAGGUUUAGUAAUGGGCAGUAGUAUAUAUAUAUCCUAGGUUAGUAAUAAACGUGCUGUGUAGGAAUAGAGCACAGGAGGUUAUGGAGGACAGGAGGUUUAGUAAUGGGCAGUAGUAUAUAUAUAUCCUAGGUUAGUAAUAAACGUGCUGUGUAGGAAUAGAGCACAGGAGGUUAUGGAGGACAGGAGGUUUAGUAAUGGGCAGUAGUAUAUAUAUAUCCUAGGUUUAGUAAUAAACGUGCUGUGUAGGAAUAGAGCACAGGAGGUUAUGGAGGACAGGAGGUUUAGUAAUGGGCAGUAGUAUAUAUAUAUCCUAUG
Long non-coding RNA from Oncorhynchus tshawytscha (Chinook salmon), 1955 nucleotides. Lineage: Eukaryota; Metazoa; Chordata; Actinopteri; Salmoniformes; Salmonidae. The record is from Ensembl.